Molecule: non-coding RNA, 1861 nt
Organism: Drosophila melanogaster (fruit fly)
Lineage: Eukaryota; Metazoa; Arthropoda; Insecta; Diptera; Drosophilidae
Source: Ensembl
AUUUAGCCUUAAGCACAACUCCAUUUCCCGAUCUGCCUUGCUUUUCCUGCACAGACAUUUUCCAGUCCGUUUUGGUACGCCCCCGGCAUUGGCAAUUCAUGCGAAACAUUUUGCAUGCUCAAAAGUUGCAUUUUUGCUCAAUAAAAUCGCAAUAAAGGCGAUGGAGGGGAUAAACUGGACAUGCGAAUCGUUUCGGAGUCCGAUAUCCUUUGUUAUUCUGCUAGGCAAAACAUUUGCUCAGGGGAUGUGCCAGGAUACGGGUAUUCUCGUUCAUACGGCAUGAGCAAUUGAUUCGCAGGCACUCGAACGGAUGAUCGAAUUAGGGCCAAGACCAGGAUCCGGCCGGAGGACCAAGGACCUGGAAACCGGCAGGCAAGUACUAAGGACUUUGCAUGGCCAGCUGUCCGGCUGCCACUUUGGCUGCCCUCUUGAGUGACAAAUUAGCCACUUUGGGGCUUGUAAUUCCCGCCGUCGGAGGCGACAACAAGAAAUGACCGCAAUUUGCGCCGGCCGCCGAGUGAUUGGUGAGCCUUUCCAGCGGACAAGGAUCCUGUGCCGCACUCACCUACAAAACGGAAUAAAGAUGCUCCACGCCAACAACAUAGACAGCCAACCAGCCAGCCAAGCAGGCAAUGACAGUUAUAAAUAGCCAAGUAAAAUUGUCAAGGGGCAGAAGGUGACAGACGGAAAUUACACAAAAAAAAAAAAAUUAAAAUAAAAGUGUAUGCAUUAAUUCAGAAACAGAAAGUAAAAUGCCAGGAACUCAUGUUUAUCAGUUUUAAAUUAUACGAAAAGCACUGCGAUUGGCAAUGUAGAACAUAACAAUUAGCGGUUUAUUUUAAGUAAUCAGUGAACAGUGGCGUCAGCAGAACACGAUUUUUGCUCUUGUUGUUUGCUUCUUUCGCCGCACACAAAACUUCCAGUUUAUUCAAAGUUACAGGACACGCUGUCCCGGCAACCAGGACAUAUUCGCCAUGGCAACAUGGUCCCGUCGUCCUCGCUGCACUGUCAGCAUCAUUAUGGCUAAUAAACAUUGCCAUUUGCGGCUGGCCAACACAGCGAGAUUCAAAGGGAGAGGACGAGUGCAGGACGAAAGGGUCUUUCGUCACCCCGGGACUCAAACAGAAGAAGAGUCAGUGGAACUGCAAGUGGUUAAAGGUCUCCGAAAGAAACAAAUGAACAACUUCUUAAAGAUAUUAUCUAUGUAAAUCAACUACUGCGCAUUAUUGCAAAUCAUUCAGGUAUCUUAUUACUGUUCCCCUUCUUGUGAUAAUAUUGACAUCUACUUCCCAAUUAAGCCAGUAUUCUAAACCUCAGGACAUGUUUUAUUUUUUCCUACUGCAUCCCAGCUGACUUAUGGAAAAAUUAGAAUAAGGUCAAAGAGUCAAAGGUAUGAAUUCGUCGGCCUGCCACAGGAGCCGGUAAUCAUGGCAGAGCUCCAACUUUCCUGAUGAAUCACUUGCUAAUUUAUCACCUGGAUAUUCGUGACCCUUGUGCAUAUGGAGGCCCAGAGCACUCGCCUUAGUUAUUAUAUUCCAUUCAUGAAACUUGUAUUUGAGUCUUCAUCCUUGCCUUAUGGCCAUGCAUCAAGAGUGUGGACAGACCUGCAAAUUGUUUGUAAAUAAACUGGGCGAGAGCUGGGGCGUAAUGCAUUGAGUAUCUGAACGCAUAAACAUGAGCGCAUAGACAAGAGCAGCUUAAGACCAUGUUUGUGCAUAAACAAAUUAAGUUUCCAAAGGCAAGAGCCCAAAAUGGAAGGAGUAGUCGAAAGCAGCAGCUGAUGCAGCAACUUUCUCUAUGGAUUUCACCUUAUAAGCCCCCUAAAACCUCCCGCUUAUAUACAUAUAUCUUAUAUCUCCCC